Molecule: long non-coding RNA, 2399 nt
Organism: Aethalodelphis obliquidens (Pacific white-sided dolphin)
Lineage: Eukaryota; Metazoa; Chordata; Mammalia; Artiodactyla; Delphinidae
Exons: 2
Source: RefSeq, a predicted model, not a curated record
GCCCGGGUGCCAGCUGGGUGUGGGUUUCCUACGGGGAGCUGGUGGGGGGCGCGGACCCCGGAAGUUUGGGGCCCCUUCCCCGAAGUGGGGGAUCGGGGUCGGCCCCUCGAACCCCCAGCGAUGUGGACUUGUUUCCUCGUUAUAACUCCUCGAGCCGUGGUGAAACCCGCCCUAAAAAUACGUGAUUUAGGCUUGUCUUGGUGUAUCUGAGAGAACGACCGGCUGCCUGUGUGAAAAACAGCCAAGUAGCUAAAACAAAGAAGCGUGUCUUCGUGUUUCGUCGUGUGCAGAUGCGGGGGGAGGACUUGGGGCGCAUGACUUGGCCCUGCGCCCUGGAAGGAUUGGGGCGCCGGGGGACAAGGCGGCCCGGAAGGUCGGCACGGCCUCCCCCGGGCGGGGGGCGGGGUGGGUGAGGCUCAGAACCGAGCUCUCGCCCGGAAGUGGGCCUGGCGGUUAGACCCCUGCGGAGCACUGGCCGCGGUUCUUCCUCUUCGGGACCGCGCUCUUUACAGGUGCUGACUGCCUAGACUUUUUGACUUCAAUGUCCUCGAUUUUAAAGUGAGGAUGGUAUCGGCCAUCCUGUUCUACUGUGGGAUCCUGUCCUGCAGGGGGGGGAUCCUGUCCUACUACGGAUCAUCUUAUGCUACUGUGUGUGAUCCUGUCCUACUGGGUGGGAUCCCCAUCCUACUGUGUGAUCCUGUCCUGCCAUAUGUGAUCCUGUCCUACUGUGUGUGAUCCUGUCCUACUGUGUGUGAUCCUGUCCUACUGUGUGUGACUGUACUGUGGCAUAUGUUCUUUAGUGAACCGGAUUUACCUUCUCUGACACUAAGAUCGUGUUGGGGGAAUGUUUCAUAGAAAGAAACUUUCACCGCAGUGUGUUCCUGAGGGGAAAAUAAAAGAUGGACAAGUUUGGGAUUUGAACUGCGGUCUCUUGCCACAGUUACUGAUAGAAUAUUAAAUUGUUCUGAGAAGCUUUGCAGUAAUGGAACUCACCUAACUCUGUUUAGGCGGGCGUUUCUCCAGCAUCUGACCACAGAAACUUGAGUAACACCCUAUUAAUAUCUCCCCAACGCGGUUUUGACCAGAACACAUUUUUGGGAGACGCUGACGUAAAUCAUUCGCGUGAGCACAGACCUGUGCAACAGUCACUCUCACUUCUCAAAAGACAUUUCAGAACUUUCUGAAAAUCACCUGACUGGAUUUCAGUAAGGAUAGUUUCAGUUUUACAGACAUUGGAGAAAUUGGUCCAUAAAUAAUGAAGUACUACAAGCUGUUAACAUUUGGAAAAGGAAGUGAACCUUCCUCACCCUUCCUCCUUCGUACAUCAUGGACAGUAAAUAACAUCUUAACAUCACUGCGCCAGUAUUAUCAGCGUAUUGUCAGCAUAUUACUCAUAAAGCAAUAGGAAUAAUUACUUUGAAAAACACAGAUCGUUCCAAGUGGAAAUUCUACAAUUUAGGGCUUCUGAAUGACAUUGGACAUUUGUUGAAGGACCUACUUUAGUAAAACAUGAUUAACAUUUCCUGCUAUAAAUAGAAUGCAGCUAAGAAACGCUUAAGUAUGUUGUAUGUAUAUAUGAAGUGACGUUCACGCGAAACCUGCCCUAAUAUUAUAGAAUAAAAUUGAGUACAGGGACUGUCUUCAGCUUUAUUCACGAUGACUGAGCUGCUGAUUCAUGUGUUUGGUGCAAACCUCUAUCAAGGGGAGCUUUGAAGUGACUUGGAAGUUUAGUAUGUUACUAAACCUGCAGUUUCAAGCAGGACCUGCCUAAGGAUGACAGUAACAAGACAUUACAGUGUCCUUGUUCCAGUGUCUGGUCCUCCAUCCUGUUGGGCCAGAAACCUACACGGUUCGCACAGAGAUAACCAGGCUCCAGAGGACACACUAAUGCUAACCAAACUCAAAAGGGACCAAUGUAUAAACCCGGAGUGUUAGCCGCCAUCCAGCUGGACCUCCGUGAAGUUGCACCCGGGGCAGAAAGAUAGGCUACUGAGUGGUCACACAGAGACUUUCCUCCCUGGGGGCAGAGGAAGCCAGAAGUUUGCUUGGGAGACCCUGUCUCUGUCUGCCUGAAGCACAGGUGAACUGGAUUGUGGAGGGCACCUUGACAAGAAGCAAGGUCACAGCUGGGGCAGUCAGGGAGGUCUGGUGGAGAGGGCCACAUAGUGCAAAGUCACACAGGUUUCUUCAGGAAGCCAUCUGCUUGAACAGUGAGUAACGUGUGCCUGCGAUGCAAAAUUCUGCUUCUUUAAACAGAAUUUAAUGAUUUAAAGUAUAUGCACCACAUUCUGUCCGUGAAAAUCAUGGUUGUGAAAACAUGUUCGAAAGAUCUGUAUACGUUGUCUUUUCUAAGUGAAUAUUAUAUUUCGAUUAAAAUAUACGUACAUAUAACAUGCUAA